CAUUACUGAGUUACCGCUCUAUAACCCUUUGUGAACAUACCUACAACUGUUGCUUCGGCGGGUAGGCCGUCCCCUGAAAAGGACGCCUCCCGGCCCGGACCGGACCCCCCGCGGGACCGGACCCGGCGCCCGCCGGAGGAUAACCAAACUCUAUUGUAACGACGUUUCUUCUGAGUGGCAUAAGCAAAAUAAUCAAAACUUUUAACAACGGAUCUCUUGGUUCUGGCAUCGAUGAAGAACGCAGCGAAAUGCGAUAAGUAAUGUGAAUUGCAGAAUUCAGUGAAUCAUCGAAUCUUUGAACGCACAUUGCGCCCGCCAGCAUUCUGGCGGGCAUGCCUGUUCGAGCGUCAUUUCAACCCUCAAGCUCUGCUUGGUGUUGGGGCUCUACGGUCGACGUAGGCCCUCAAAGGUAGUGGCGGACCCUCCCGGAGCCUCCUUUGCGUAGUAACAUUUCGUCUCGCACUGGGAUCCGGAGGGACUCUUGCCGUAAAACCCCCCAAUUUUCCAAAGGUUGACCUCGGAUCAGGUAGGAAUACCCGCUGAACUUAAGCAUAUCAAUAAGCGGAGGA
This 569-nucleotide ribosomal RNA is filed under the name Colletotrichum boninense. RNAcentral's name for it is "eukaryotic LSU rRNA". The stretch from base 197 to 350 matches the Rfam family "5.8S ribosomal RNA". The record is from RNAcentral. Lineage: Eukaryota; Fungi; Ascomycota; Sordariomycetes; Glomerellales; Glomerellaceae.